Sus scrofa (pig) is the source of this 9001-nucleotide non-coding RNA. Lineage: Eukaryota; Metazoa; Chordata; Mammalia; Artiodactyla; Suidae. The record is from RefSeq and is a predicted model, not a curated record.
UGCCCUAGGACCUUGACUGUUCCAUCUGUUCCAAUAUCACCCGCUACAUGAUUGGUACUUCCGCGACUCUUUCAAGUCCUUGCUCAAAUGUCACCUCAGUGAGACCUCCUCUGAACAUUCUAUUUAAAAGGUGACACCCUCUCACGUCCUUUCCACACUUCACUUAUCCCACGUGAAUUGCUUAUGUUAGCUUCAACAUAGCCACAAAUUAUUCCCUUUUGGACACCCUGCCUGUCGCUUCUCCUUUAAAUCUUGUGGGGAAGGGCGGAGCUAGGACCGAGGCUAAAAGCGAGGAGGAGCCUUCUACAGGCUACGCCUACUUGCGUCGUGGGCAGCGGGCCAGCGAUCCCGCGCGGAGACAUUCUUCUCCUCUUCCGCUCCGGAAGCGCGACUGCGGAGGGGAUUACCACGUGACCUUGACGUCAACGCGCCCGCGCCAGGCGGACCUGAUUCCCUCGGCUUCCCAGGGGUCUUGGUUUGUGGCUUAUCUGCUUUCCACUCUGGUGCGGCGCAGUUCGCGGUCCUCGCUCAAGGCCCUCUGGGCCUGGCCUCCAACUUAAGUAUGUACCACAAUAGUAGCCAGAAGCGGCACUGGACUUUCGCCAGUGAGGAGCAGCUAGCCCGGUUGCGGGCCGACGCCAACCGCAAAUUCAGAUGCAAAGCAGUGGCGAAUGGGAAGGUUCUUCCAAAUGACCCAAUCUUUCUUGAGCCUCAUGAAGAAAUGAUACUCUGCAAAUACUAUGAGAAAAGAUUAUUGGAAUUCUGUUCAGUGUUUAAGCCAGCAAUGCCAAGGUCUGUUGUGGGUACGGCUUGUAUGUAUUUCAAGCGUUUUUAUCUUAAUAACUCAGUUAUGGAAUAUCACCCCCGGAUAAUAAUGCUCACUUGUGCAUUUUUGGCCUGCAAGGUAGAUGAAUUCAAUGUAUCUAGUCCACAAUUUGUUGGAAAUCUGCGGGAGAGUCCUCUUGGACAAGAGAAAGCACUUGAACAGAUUUUGGAAUAUGAACUGCUCCUUAUACAACAGCUUAAUUUCCACCUUAUUGUCCACAAUCCUUAUAGACCUUUUGAGGGCUUUCUCAUUGAUUUAAAGACUCGAUAUCCCAUGUUGGAGAAUCCAGAGAUUUUGAGGAAGACAGCUGAUGACUUUCUCAGUAGAGUUGCAUUGACGGAUGCUCACCUUUUAUACACACCUUCCCAGAUUGCCCUGACUGCCAUUUUAUCUAGUGCAUCCAGAGCAGGAAUUACUAUGGAAAGUUAUUUAUCAGAAAGUCUGAUGCUCAAAGAGAACAGAACUAGCCUGUCACAGUUACUAGAUAUUAUGAAAAGCAUGAGAAACUUGGUAAAAAAAUAUGAACCACCCAGAUCUGAAGAAGUUGCUGUUCUGAAACAGAAGUUGGAGAGAUGUCACUCUCCUGAGCUUGCACUUAACGUAAUUACGUAAGUAGAUGGGACACUGUUAUCCUAGAACAGAUAUAACUAUUAUUGUGUUUAGCUUAAAAUGUCAUUUAAUUGGUGAAUGCUCAUAUGGGUAAAACUGACUUACCUAUUAAAUCAGAUUUUUUUUCAACAGGAUUAAACACGAGAUAAUAAAAGAAUUUGGCUUUUUAUAGUCAAUUCUGCUCCUGCUGUGAUUAACGUGUUCUUUGGCUUGUGGGAUCCCAUGAGGCAGAGUCUUCCUAGGGAAUUCAUGAACCUCUUCUUGUCCUUUUAAUCUCUAGGUUUUUUGUAGGUCUGGUUAUCUCCUCUGGAGAACAAGUACACUGUUCCAGAUUUAUUUCUAUUAGCUAGGGUAUGGAAAUUUGGCAUAUUUUCUCUCAGUGGUAAACUUUAUAUUGAAGACAGAAUCAAUAGGAAAAUGUGCUGUUAGAUUUCUUGUUGCAUCCAUAAGGAACACUGUAAUACGUCUUAUUGACUUGUUGCUGAAUGUGGAAUUCACUAUAUUUGAGCUCUUUAUCACCUGCAGCUUGAAGAUCUGCUUACACCUUUCAGGUGUUUAAACAGUUGGGGAUCUGGGUAGGUAAUAAGAAUGGUAAAAUUAUUAUUUUAUAUUUUCUGUGGAACACAUUCUGUAAAACUUAGUGGGAGGUAGGUCUGUCAUCUUACAGUUGAGAUGCAUUUGAGAUGUUUCUGAUUCCAUAAUUGAUGACUAUAUUGUUAUUGGAUAAUAUAUGAGACAUCAGACCAGAAUUCUAAGGCCUUCAGAUCAGGUACUUGUAACUCAAAUUCUUCUAACUAUAAAGCUAUAGUAGGAGAAUAUCCCAGGACUUAUGAUGUGUGUAAAAUAUGGGACUAUUUUAUAUUUGUAGCUGUAACUGCAAAACAUGGCUUAGAAUAGAACCUAAAAUUGGUAAAUUUCACUCCUGGGUUUCAGUGUUACAGCAAAAGUAAAGAAAAAUGUUGACUUUAAUGAAUGAAAGUAUUGCAGUACUGAUUUAUAAUCUUUUCACAUUGAUUUUGAAAUGGGCUUAUUAGACCAGGUGUUGGCACACUGUGGCCCAAGGGCCAAAUCUGGGCCACAACCUGUUUUUAGAAAUAGUUUUAUUGGAACAUAGAUCCAUCUAGCAUACUGUGUAUUGCUGUUUUCAGACUAUAGCAGAAGAAUUGUGUAGUUGUGACAGAAACUACAUGCCCGUACAAGAAUUAAAAUACUCACUAUAUGGCCUUUUGAAGAAAAAUUUGUCCACCUCUGAAUUAGACCACUCAACUAUUGAUCUUACUCUUCUAGCUAGGUGACUGAAUGGACCAUAAUCCAAAGUUCCUAAUUGGCCAGAGUUUACAUCUUUCUUUCAAGUGUACUGUGUUAAGCAAACCCUGCAUAUCUAUGAGUACUUAAAGGGCGAUUCUCAAACUGUAAAGGACUGUUAAUUUUCUUUUUAACCCAUUACAGACCUACACUUACAUAAAAUAUUAACAAAUAAUUACUCGAAAAAAGAAAAUGACAAAAAAAUAAGCUUAAAUUUUAUUAGAUUCAAUAAGCUUAAUUUUAUUAGAUUCAGUAGUCAUAAAUAAAUCUAUCAAAUUCCUAUAAAAAUUUCUAAACACACACUCAAUUUCUAUACUUAUCUCAUUGCACGCUGGAAAUGGUCCAUAAAUCACACUUACAAGCACUACUUUAGGAUAAAAUAUUUUUUCUUGGUCUUUAAAAUUCUUUUAUCUUUUUUAAUACACAAGUAAUAUAGUGUCAUUAUUAAAGCCAAUUUAAUACAGGUAAACCAGAGUUCUCUUUAACCAAAACCCAAAUCCCAGUUUCAUCCCGAGAGGUAACUUAUAGUUGUUAUCUUUGCCAAGCUUUUCACUAUUAUGUAUUUAGAAAAGGGUUUUUUCCCUUUUCAUUGUUUUCAUACACAUUGUACAACAUUUAAUAGUAUCAGUAUUUAACUUCUGCCAGUCUGGGUGAAGAAAUAAUCAUCACAUCGGUAUUUUAAUUUGCAUUUCUCUUAUUAUUCUGAUACUGAUAUUUCCAUGUCAAAUAAUCCUGUUUCUUCUGUAUUGCAUAAUUAUAACCUCUGCCCAACUUUCUUGUCUUGUUUUCUUAUGGUUCUUUUUAUAUACUCCUCUUUUUAUAUUUAUCAUAGACCUACUUUCUUUUGUUGCUUCUUUUACUUUGUGACAUAGGCAGCUUGUCUUUUGCUUUAUGCUCGUACACCUGAACACCUUGUCUUACUCUGUAUUUUGCCUUUUGUUUAGCUGUUAAAACUAUUUAGAAUUGUAUGUGAUUGGUUUGAGGUAGAAAUCUCACUAAUUUUUGUUCAAAGUAAACUUGUAUCAGCCAUUUAAAAAUAUUUCAUGAUUUUCUCUAGUUAUUUAAAAUAGUCAUUUAUUACAGAUUAAACUCCUAUAUAUACUUUGUACUGAUCAUUGAUCUUUAACUCUUUGCUAAUACAGACAGCCCUUCAUAUCUGUGGAUGCAGAGCACCAAAUGUACGAAUAUUACCAUUUCAUAAAAGGGACUUGAGCAUCAGGAUUUUGGUAUCUUGAGGGGUGGGGGUGGGGUUCCUGGAGCCAGUCUUCCUCAGAUAUCAAAGAAUGACUGUACCAUACUUUUAAUUACCAUAGUUUAUAUAAAGUAUGUUUUGAUGUUAGGUGGGACAUGCUCCCCAUAUUUUGUUCUUUUUCAUAUUCUUUUGCUAUUUUUGUGUAAUCUUUUCCUGGUCAGAGUUAAGCUUAGGAAAAAUUUUAUUAGGAUUUUAAUUAGAAUUGGAUUGAAUUUUUUUAUUUUGCUGCAUCAUGCAGCACCUUGAUAUGGGAUCUCAAUUCCCAGACCAGGGAUCAAAACCGGUCCACAACGAUGAAAGCACUGAUCCUAACCGCCAGAUCACCAAGGAACUCUGCAAACUGCACUGUCUUUAAAGAGUAAUUUGAAAGAUAAUUGCCUUCCUACCCAUAAUUCUUCACCUUUUUCCAUUUAUCCAGGGUUUGUUCUGUAGAUAUGUCAAAAAAAGAUAGCUUGUUUGAGAGAUUUACAGAAUCUUGCUAGUUUAACCAUGCUAGAUUCUGUUGCCAGUAUUAGAUUGCUUAUUGAUGGUUGCUUAAUUACAGCAAGAAGAGGAAAGGUUAUGAAGAUGAUGAUUAUGUCUCAAAGAAAUCCAAACAUGAGGAGGAAGAAUGGACUGAUGAUGACCUGGUAGAUUCCCUGUAACCAUCCGAAAGUGACCUGUUAAUACUCGCUCAUCAACAGUUACUAAUGUUUGGCAUCAGAGCAAGGUCCACAUGUAUCUCUGAAAAUUUCCCUACCCAACACCUUUGAAUAAAUGUUUAGAGGUUUCAUUUCAUCAUUGACCAGCUAGUUACUACAAGGCCUACAAAGGGCCACACAUGUGAUAUAUAUAAGCUCCCAGGCUACAUGUCAAAUUGAAGCUUCAGCUCCUGGUCUACACCACAGCCACUGUGAUCUAAGCCGCAUCCGCAACCUACACCACAGCUCACGGCAAACCAGGAUCCCCAACCCACUGAGCGAGGAAAGGGAUUGAACCCACAUCCUCAUGGAUACUAGUUGGAUUCACUUCCACUGCACAAUGGGAACUCCAGAAAGUGGUUUUUAAAAUUCCAUUAUUAAAAUGUAAAAUCGAAAAAUAUGAAUAUACCAACAAAAUCAUCAAUUAUCUUUAUGAAAUAUCCACUGUUGAAAACUGUUAUAUUUUAUGGUUUUAUUGUGUCAAAGUUUCAUUCAUAAAUGACAUUUUAAAGUAUCAAAAUGUUUUUACCUUAGCUCCAAAUUCCACAAGAUUUGCUAAGUUCUGCACAGACUUAGCCACUAAUAUCAGCGUUCUUGCAGCAAUAGGAGAUGGGGAAUCUAUAAGAGAAUUGGGCACAGCUAAUGACACCAACUCCAAAUUCUUCCAGCUAAACCGUUAAAAAUUUACCACUUUAAUAUUUCUCUACUAUUAAAAAUACUAACUUUCUUCCAUUGAGAACUCAAUGUUUCUAGGAAAGUACUACCCACAUCAUUCAAAAGAGCUUGAGUUAAAGGGGGAAAAACAGAAUAUGCUUAUUGGUACUUUUAGUGUGAAUACUUCAAGACUAACUCAUUCCUAACUGGUUGAUGCUAUUUCAGAAUACCCCAAAGCUUUAUCGCUAAAAAGACUGUCACUCCACCUACCCUUCAGGACAAUCUACAAAGCUAAUUUCAACCCACCCAGAUUAGCAAUUUGCAAUAUGAGCAGUUCCAUGUUGCCAACCUCCACUGACUCAAAUUAUACAAUUUAAAGCUAAACAAAGUCUGGAACCUCUAUUUUGAGGAGGAAAACAUGAAAUUAUUAAUUUAAAAAAUACUUAAAGGUUAAUCAGGAAAAUGUGCCCUAUAUAGAUAGGAUAUAAAUAGAAUACAUUUGUGUCUAUUAAUUUUAAGCCUGGAAACGUAUUAACAGUAAAAACCUAUAGUUUAUCUGCCUGAUUUUACUUUUACUUAUUUUUAUGGCCACAUUUGCAGCAUAUGGAACUUCGCAGGCCAGAGAUGAAUCUCAGCUGCAGCUGCAGAUGCAGCCUACACUACAGCUGCAGCAAUGUGCAAUAUUUAACCCACUAUGCCAGGCUGGGGAUCAAACUCAUGCCACCAAAGAACACUGGAUCCUUAAUCUGCUGCACCACAGCAAGAACUACUGACUGCCUGAUUUUAAAUUGUACUCUUUUCAUCUUAAACUGCUAGACUACAAACAGUAUUGCUUAGUGGUUCAGAUCCAACAUUCAGAUAAAUAAAUCUCUCCACAAGAAUUCAAAACCCUUAAUUCUUAAACCAUAAAUAUAACCAUUUUAGUAGUAAUAGGAUGAGAGGUGAUGUCUAUAAAGAUAAAAUAAGAUAUUCUAAAAAAAUCUUAAUACAAUUUUGAGCUUCAAAUUAUUAAGACAAAAAUGCUUCAGAUUCCUUCUGCUAAUAAUGUGGUCACAAAUAUUCUUAUCCUUUCUGUGAAAUAAGCCUGCAGUAACAUGUAGAAGUUCAUAAUGGGCAUAUGGGUAAAAAGCAAAACCAAAUUUGGUUUGGAGAAUAAAAUGCUAAUUAACAUUAGACAUUAGGUGACAAGAAAUCUCUACUGUGAAACCUCAAAGGGCUACUUUCUUCCUAAGUAUUCAGAGUACUAUUAUAAAUGCAGCUGUAAUUUACAUAGGGAGGUUCUCAGGCUAGGGGUCAAAUUGAAGUUGUAUGACACACCCACUGUGAUGCAGGAUCCAAGCCGAGUGGAGUCUGCAGCUUACACCAAAACUGGCAACACCAGAUACUUAAACCACUGAGAGAGGCCAGGGAUUUGAACCCACAUCCUAAUGGAUAUUAGUUGGGUUCACUGCCACUGAGCCACAAUGGGAACUCCUGCAGCUAUAAUUUUAUUUUGAUUCUAAAAUCCAACUUGCAGUGGUAGUGUACAGGGUCUAGCAUAGGCUAAAGGCUCAUAGAAAGCUGUUCAUCCCAACUUGAAAAAGCCACACUGCAGACUAGAAAAACUCAUCAUAGGAACUGAGACACAGGUGGGGAUGGGAAAAAAAUGGUAGGUGUAUAAUCAUGCCUUCUCAGGCUUCAGUUGCUUUAGAGAAAGAAAGGAAAGAAGCACAAUUAAAAAAAUAAUAAGGUAAGCCAAAAGUAGAAUAGGGUGCUUUGGAAUGUUUUAAACCAAGUCUUAGAUUUGGAUAAGAAAAGCAGAUUUAAAAGAGAAGAAAAUGAAGUAAACUCACUAAAGAAUAUGACAUUUUUUUUUUAAUUUCAAAAUUUAUCAGAAGUUGAUUACCUGAGAUGAUAUUAAACAUCCGUGGAUUCAGGAUGGCAGGACAGAUAAGUCGAAGAAAAACAAAACCACUGAAUGGGAGGGAAAUGUUGGGGUUUUUUUAGAUAACCACUAUAAUAUGUAUUACAUUAAAAUAAUAAAAAUUACAAUACUUGUAGAACCAUGAACUUUGAACUAAUCUAUGGAAGGCCAAAUAAAGCUUUAUAAAAAUAAUAAGCUAAAGUAUUUUGCAAUAAGAACAUAUAUCUGCAUCUUAAACAUUCAUUUUCUUCAAAUUUAGAAUUUUAAAUUUACUUUGGGAAGACCUAAGUUAUAUCUGUUAGCAUUUAUUGUCUUGGCUAAUAUUUAUUUACUCCAAGGUAGUACAGCCUUUUAUACUUACUUUGAAGAAAGUGUUUAGAAACACUAAGGCCUUCUGGGAGUACAAAUAAACCUUUUUAAUAGAUACAUAAUCCUGUAAGGUCGGAAAACUAACAUUUUCUCACUUCUUUCUUUUCUUUAAACAGAACAGCUCAGUAAAGUCCAUUAUAAAUCACACUGGUUAUACAGAUUUUGUGUUAUUUAAAAUUUAAGAAUCCACUGUACUAGGGAAAAAGUGACUUCCUGAUAAAUGAAAAUGUAUACAGCAGUAUGCUGAAAAGCUUUUAAAGUGAUAAAAAGACAUUAAGCUUUCCAAAUUAAAAUUUUUUCAUAUUCCAAAAUAUUAAUAGCAAAAACAAAAACUAAUUUAAAAGCACAUGGCUUAACAAUAGUUGUCAUACAUGAUUUUACCUGCUAAUCUCUCUCCUGGGAAUGCAGUACAAAAUAAAUCUACAAGCUUACAUAUCUAUUCCUAGUCUGCCCCUUUUAGUUACUGGUACAGUUUAUGUCCUUAUGUAGAAAAUAUUUCUCUAACUUCCUCUUCAGAAGAAUCCACACUAGUAAUUGACCUUUCACCUGCCCUACGUAAAAGACAAGCAUUAUUUUCAAGGUGACAGAAUUCCUUUUAGAGAUUAAAAUAGUUGACAGAGUCUCUGUUCUCUGUUAGAGUGAAUAACCCAACUUCUCAGCAUUUAACUUUCCAACAAUGCUGUUUGCUAAUUUUGGGAAAUCUUAGGAAAUUAAUGCUGCUUCUCAAAUAGCAUUUAUUCCCAAUUAUACAAUUAAGUCUUUAAACAGAUAUCUUUUAAAUUACUUAUGAAAAAUAUUACAUAAAAUUUGCUUGAAAACACUUGUGAUACCUAAAUAGGUCUUUGAAUUUGAAAUAUAGUCUAGCAACAAUGAACCGUAAGAUUUCAGUGUGUGAACCUACUUUCUGUGAAUUUUUAGAGGUGAUUUGAAAUCUAAGAGGAAAAUUAGGUUUCUACACAUAUAUUUAAAAGCUUAAUCACCACCUUGGCCAUAAAUGCUCCCUUAAAAAAUCCUAUAGUAUCAAACAAUCCACAUAGCAGAGUUUCCUGCUUUUUGCUUAACAAUUAUACUUGUUUGAAACUUACAGAACAGUUUUCAUUUACAUCACACAAAACUGUUGAAACAUAUGUUUAUAAUUCUUUUCUAUUUUUCAAUCACUACUAAAGGCAGGAAGUACAGAAUCUCUAAUUCUUAAAUAUUUAGGUCACAUCAUUAUUAACCAAGAGAGAUUUAAUCUGUAAAAAAGAAUAGAAGCUUCUUUGCAAAAUUUAGGUUGGGGACAGGAUUAACACACAUUUUCAAAACUAAUUACACGACCAUCAGUAGCUGCCUAAUUGUAUUUUAUGGUAUAACAUGACGGGAAGCAUAUAUUCUUUAUAAUAAAUUAUUAUUAGACUGCUGUA